UAUUUUUUUGCUUCUUUUUUCUAAGCAUACUUACCUGUAUAUUGUUAUCAAGAAAUGAGAAGAUUGAUAGUGUUAUUAGUGUUCUUGUUUUGCUAAAUUUUGUAUAUUGUUAUCAAGAAAUGAGAAGAUUGAUAGUGUUAUUAGUGUUCUUGUUUUGCUAAAUUUUGUAUAUUGUUAUCAAGAAAUGAGAAGAUUGAUAGUGUUAUUUGUGUUCUUGUUUUGCUAAAUAUUGUAUAUUGUUAUCAAGAAAUGAGAAGAUUGAUAGUGUUAUUAGUGUUCUUGUUUUGCCAAAUUUUGUAUAUUGUUAUCAAGAAAUGAGAAGAUUGAUAGUGUUAUUAGUGUUCUUGUUUUGCUAAAUUCUGUAUAUUGUUAUCAAGAAAUGAGAGAAUUGAUAGUGUUAUUAGUGUUCUUGUUUUACAAAAUUCUGUAUAUUGUUAUCAAGAAAUG
This 447-nucleotide long non-coding RNA is filed under the name Lathyrus oleraceus (garden pea). RNAcentral's name for it is "Pisum sativum (pea) long non-coding RNA (PSAT_LNC019108)". Lineage: Eukaryota; Viridiplantae; Streptophyta; Magnoliopsida; Fabales; Fabaceae. The record is from RNAcentral.